Molecule: long non-coding RNA, 313 nt
Filed under: Selaginella moellendorffii
Lineage: Eukaryota; Viridiplantae; Streptophyta; Lycopodiopsida; Selaginellales; Selaginellaceae
Description: long non-coding RNA (SMOE_LNC001658)
Source: RNAcentral
AAGCUGCUCGGUGAGUCUGAUCAGAAUCCGGAGCGCGCUAACACUCCAAGACUUUUCCUCGUACUUCUCCUCUUCUGUUUCCUCGCGCUUUUCCUCUUCCAAGCUGCGGAUCUUCUUCUCGGUUUUUCCCCUGUGGUUUAGCGACCGGUUUGCCUUGUGGAAAGCUUCGAGAUACGUGAACUCAACAUAUCCCCCUCGGCCAUCGCUAAGAUGGGUUUCACUGCGAUUUGGGAGAAGAUCCACCACACCUCCGCAACAUCCACAAUCUGGGCAUACACAUCGAUGAUCGGGAUUGUGGGCAUUUGCGCAAGGC